UGGGGAAUAUUGCGCAAUGGGGGGAACCCUGACGCAGCCAUGCCGCGUGAAUGAAGAAGGCCUUAGGGUUGUAAAGUUCUUUCGGUAUUGAGGAAGGUUGAUGUGUUAAUAGCACAUCAAAUUGACGUUAAAUACAGAAGAAGCACCGGCUAACUCCGUGCCAGCAGCCGCGGUAAUACGGAGGGUGCGAGCGUUAAUCGGAAUAACUGGGCGUAAAGGGCACGCAGGCGGUUAUUUAAGUGAGGUGUGAAAGCCCCGGGCUUAACCUGGGAAUUGCAUUUCAGACUGGGUAACUAGAGUACUUUAGGGAGGGGUAGAAUUCCACGUGUAGCGGUGAAAUGCGUAGAGAUGUGGAGGAAUACCGAAGGCGAAGGCAGCCCCUUGGGAAUGUACUGACGCUCAUGUGCGAAAGCGUGGGGAGCAAACAGGAUUAGAUACCCUGGUAGUCCACGCUGUAAACGCUGUCGAUUCGGGGGUUGGGGUUUAACUCUGGCGCCCGUAGCUAACGUGAUAAAUCGACCGCCUGGGGAGUACGGCCGCAAGGUUA
Molecule: ribosomal RNA, 547 nt
Filed under: uncultured bacterium
Lineage: Bacteria
Description: bacterial SSU rRNA
Rfam family: Bacterial small subunit ribosomal RNA
Source: RNAcentral